AAACUUGAGAAACCCGAAAGUUCGAAAGGGGAGAUUCAUCGUCAGCGACCGCUGGCUUUUGUACGUUUCGCGAUGUGCGGCCGACUCCGGUCGCAUCGAUACGCGUUCGUAUGGUUUAGACCCGGUUCGUCGGCGUGCACUUCUCCUCUAGUAGGACGUCGCGACCCGUUGGGUGUCGGUCCACGGAACGGGUGGUUGCCUGUCGCGCGACGCGCUACGCGGCGUUUGUCGCGCGGCAGACCCCCGUAUGCCUGGCCAGCUCUCGGCGGUAUUCGUACGGUAUCGAGCCGCAUUUCGCACGUUUGCGUCCGACCCGUUGCACGUAGGCCAGUGCCCGUCUAUACGGACUUAGCGCCGGAGUCAGGCUUGGUCGAGCGUUCGCGACGGUGUUCUCGGGCUGGCUCAAUGAUAUCGGUCAGCGACGCUAUUGCUUCGGGUACUUUCAAGACCCGUCUUGAAACACGGACCAAGGAGUCUAACAUGUGCGCGAGUCAUUGGGAAUAAGAAACCCAAAGGCGAAAUGAAAGUGAAGGUCCGACAUUGCGUCGACCGAGGGAAGAUGAGCCGCUGAAAAGUGGUUCCGCAUUCCCGGGGCGUCUCGUUCUCAU
This 608-nucleotide ribosomal RNA is filed under the name Hybrizon buccatus. RNAcentral's name for it is "eukaryotic LSU rRNA". It matches the Rfam family "Eukaryotic large subunit ribosomal RNA", at positions 417 to 780 of the family's 3401-position model. Lineage: Eukaryota; Metazoa; Arthropoda; Insecta; Hymenoptera; Ichneumonidae. The record is from RNAcentral.